Danio rerio (zebrafish) is the source of this 3127-nucleotide long non-coding RNA. Lineage: Eukaryota; Metazoa; Chordata; Actinopteri; Cypriniformes; Danionidae. The record is from Ensembl.
GCUUUUACUGCAAGUGAUACUACAGAGCAUUUGAUUGGUCAGAAGAUCUGUUUGAAAAACUACUGAUUCAUAUUGGCUAUAACUGCUUAUGUUUUCUAAAUGUCUUUGUUUACAGAUUGCCUUAAUGCUGAUAUAUUGAUACUAAUAAACAAACGCAAUUAGUUAGGAUUAAGUCAGACUGCAGACUUUUUAUUGUAUGCUAUUUCUUCCUAAAAAAAUUUAAAAUAUUUAAAUAAAUAAAGGUCACGCUUUAUUUUGAUAGUCCGUUUGUUGAAUUGAAAUUACAUAGCGACAUACCAACUAAUUUUCAUUAGAUUAUAAGUAGACUGUUAGGUUAGGGUUGGGGUUUGGGUUAGGGUUAGUGUAAGUUGACAUGUACUGUACACUGUUAGACAUUUCUGUAAAUUACACAGUUAUUUACUGUAUUUCACCCAGUGUAAUACUGCAAAUUCCUUUUACGGUAAAUAACUGUAUUUACCGUUGCAUUAUGGGAAUUUAGUGUGACGUCGAACAACAUAUACAGCGAUGUACUGUAUUUGUAAAAAUUCGUGUAUUAUACUGUAUUUUCCACAACUGCUUCAACGCCACCUUGCGGCGAUUCGACUACUCUGCACCACAUUUUGCCUGAGGACCCUGGAGCAAUUCUGGAGUACAAUUUAUUAGUGUGCCUGAAGAACAUACUGGAUUUAACAAACUUUACUCUGGUAAGCUGAGGCAGUGUUUCAUUUUACAGAAUGUUUUGUGGACGAGAAUAGAACAAAGUAAAGUAUAAAGUUGGCUAUUAUUAUUUUCUCUGGCUUGGCGUUAUUUCGCCCAUUUGAGAAAUAUAUCAUCUAUUAAGAUGUUACCUUUAUUUAAUUUAUUACAUUAACACUACUAUUACUUUAAAUAAGACUGUUUAUGACUAUUAGCCAUUGUUCUCGUCAUAUCUUUUUAUUUAUUUACAUAGGAACCGGUGUUGCAGCGGGUUUUGGUUUAGGAGGGAACCAGAGGUAUGCAGACAGUUUUGGGGGACACUUAGCACGAGACAACGGUCCGGCAGAGAGUGUUUUCCCCCAGAAGAAUAUGAAUGAAAGACCAACAAAUAAUCCAGAUAUGGCACUGGCACAGCAGCAGGUUUUGUCUGAAGAAACAAACAGCAUUUCAGAGGAACAUCUUGAUCAGCACAGCCUUAUGCUUAAAAAAUAAGCAAGACCAGUAAGCAACCAAGGUAAACAAAUAAAAAAAAUUGUGUGGAGGUUGUGGAUUGUAGCAUGGUAUUCUUAUCUGUAUUUUUGGCUUUUUUAUGGUCUCAAUAUAGAAUACUGGGAGCCUGCCUGUGCAAACUGGACCUCAUACAACAGUAAGUACUGUACAUCUAUUUGUUUCUCAAUAUAUUAACGUUACUUUUAAUACAAAAUGUGUCACAUGUUUAGUUGCUAGCUAAAUAAAAAAAUCGUUUUCCCUUUUUUAUUAAACCAUUUAGUAGGUUUUUUUUCAUCUUUGUUUAUAAUAUUUUUGAGCAGAUUGAGGUCUGUCAUGGGUCAGACAUUUCAAAAUACAAUAAUUAGUAUUGGGAUACAUGCAUUUGUCUAUGUAUUAAAUGUCUUUUUCCCCAUUUCAUGUUGCCUAAAUAUUUUGUAAUAAAUAAAAUAAUACAAUUUUUUGUAUAAAUAAUUCCAGAGGAUGAAACAAAAUGCACAGCAACAACCAGAGUGAGCCAGAAGAUAGCAGGAGAAGUACUGAAGAGAAUGACAACCAUGAACAACAGUGAGUUAUCCUUCUUUCACCAGCCAGCUAACUGAGAACUUGGAUUAGGUGAGACACUCUCAAUAGUUUUAUCAGUAUUCAGUCAGUUUUAGUUUAUUAGGAAUACAUAAAACAAAUAGUCUAAUCUGUCCUGCUGUGAAUCAACCCAUCACAAAUGCUACAAUGUUUUUGUAAAACCUUGUUAGGGGAAAAAUAAACAGGACAUUCUGGUUAGUUAUCUUUUAAACAUGGUAGUGAGCAGGUUAUGAGCAGGAGCCAGUUGCUCAGUACCAGCUGAAAACUACCCCAACCUAGCUGCCAUGCUUCAAAAUAAUUAACCAGUAUAUGAUUUAUUUUUUUAAACAAGCUUCUUCUAUGCUUAUGUUAGUCUGUUUGUCCUUAUCCAGAGUUCUUCAUAAUCCUGGACUGGGCCAAAUCCUGACCAGAUGCUGUGGUGGUCAUGGAGGAGUGAAUCCUAAAAGACACACGUGAUCAAUGAGUUUCCGCAUUGAUCCAAUGGGCCAGCCUGACCACCCACUGGUGAACUUUCAAGCCUCCGGUGCCUAGACUGCGGCCUUGCACAAGUUUGGCUAGAGGAGAACUGGUCGUGCCCAACUGAGCCUGGUAUCUCUCAAGGGAUUUUAUUCUACACUUUCGUCAGUUGGUGAAGUUUGUUCCAUGCCACUGUCGCCACUGGAUCACUUGGCUACGAUUGGUGGAUCGGUGGAUUUGCUCUUCAGUGUUUAGACUUUCAGCAGUGACAUUUACUGCUUCAAUUCUGAAAACUGGACUGAAGCAGCUUCAAUUUACAAGAACUUCUAUGUUAAGCUGCUUUGACAUCAUUGAUCUACAUUGUAAAAGUGCAAUAGAAAUAAAGAUGAAUUGCAUUUAAACAUGUGAAUUCAGACCUUGUUGAGCAUUUGACACCAGAACUAGUAAUAUUUUAAAGUUGGGUUGUUUCUGAGUCGGCUAAUAGUUACAAAUAUUUAUUUUUCCAACAAUAUGCAAUUCAGAAGUUUAAAUUUUUAUUGUACAUGUAUGUUCUAGUGCUUUGUGUGAUUUAUUUAUUUUUAAUGUGUUGAUUUUAUUGCUUAAUGUAAUUUUCACACAUUUUCCUUAAAUGCUUUAAGCAUUAUUAAUGUUUUAAAGAAUGGAAUAUUUUGUAAUUGUGUCUGGUUUAAUGUCAGUAGUACUUAGUACAAUUGGGGUUUUUUUUCUCAACAAUAUGCAGGUCAGACACUUAAGUUAGUUUUGUACAUGUAUGUUAAUGUGCUUUGUCAUUUUCAAUGUUUUUUUUUCUUAAAAUAAAAUAUUUUGAAUGAUUGAAAUGUAAUGUUUUUACACAUUUUUAAGCUUGUUUUAAGCAUCUCCAAUGUUUUAAAUAAAGAGUGUUUAUUUU